RNAcentral lists this ribosomal RNA (465 nucleotides) under uncultured bacterium. Its description in RNAcentral is "partial 16S ribosomal RNA". It matches the Rfam family "Bacterial small subunit ribosomal RNA", at positions 28 to 507 of the family's 1533-position model. The record is from RNAcentral.
GAUGAACGCUGGCGGCGUGCUUAACACAUGCAAGUCGAACGGAAAGGCCCUUGCUUGGUGGGGUGCUCGAGUGGCGAACGGGUGAGUAACACGUGGGUGAUCUGCCCUGGACUUUGGGAUAAGUCUGGGAAACUGGGUCUAAUACCGGAUAGGAGCUCAUGCUGCAUGGUGGGGGGGAGAGAGUUUCGGUGGGGGAUGAACUCGCGGCGUAUCAGCUUGUUGGUGGGGUAAUGGCUUACCAAGGAGUCGACGGGUAGCCGGCCUGAGAGGGUGAACGGCCACAUUGGGACUGAGAUACGGCCCAGACUCCUACGGGAGGCAGCAGUGGGGAAUAUUGCACAAUGGGCGGAAGCCUGAUGCAGCAACGCCGCGUGCGGGAUGACGGCCUUCGGGUUGUAAACCGCUUUCGCCUGGGACGAAGCGUGAGUGACGGUAAUGGGUAAAGAAGCACCGGCUAACUACGUG